CGGCAGCUGCUGGGCUGGGUGUCCUAGCGAUAAGGGUGCAGGUCCCAGGGGUGCGGAAGCCGGGGCCGAACAGAGGCACACACCGGUGGGGCGGCUCCUGGGAGCGUUUCUUUCGGGCCUCUGGGCAGCCCCACAGGUGCAGGCCGCUGCUGGCGAGACCGGGAGUGACAAGGGACGCUGCCGGGCUCCUCCACGGAGGGGGACCCGGAACAGAAGCCAUUUAAACACUGCGCGGCGCCAGGAGGCAGCAGGGCUCAAGCCGCCGCAGAGCAGCGGGGGAGACGCCGAACCACACCUAUACGUGUCCGGAAGUCCACCUCCACAGGUACCCCAAGCUGGCCUUGCUGACCUCCACUGGUCUCCCAACAACCACAUCAAAAAAUUCGGACAUCAAAUGUCUAGGUGGUUGUCAAAAUCAUCAAUGAAAGCCUUCUAUCCUAUCUUGAGAUGCAACCAGAUAUCAAUGGAGGUGCUUUGAAAUAUGUCAGAAAUGAGGCCAAGACCAUGUGUUUUAUUAUGCUGGACCGGAUGCUGCCUGGA
Long non-coding RNA from Eptesicus fuscus (big brown bat), 540 nucleotides. RefSeq lists it as uncharacterized. NCBI's taxonomy places the organism in Eukaryota, Metazoa, Chordata, Mammalia, Chiroptera, Vespertilionidae. The record is from RefSeq and is a predicted model, not a curated record. The transcript has 4 exons.